Molecule: ribosomal RNA, 253 nt
Filed under: uncultured bacterium
Lineage: Bacteria
Description: partial 16S ribosomal RNA
Rfam family: Bacterial small subunit ribosomal RNA
Source: RNAcentral
UACGUAGGGGGCAAGCGUUGUCCGGAUUUAUUGGGCGUAAAGAGCGUGUAGGCGGCCUGGUAGGUCAGCUGUGAAAACUCGAGGCUCAACCUCGAGACGCCGGUUGAAACCAUCAGGCUAGAGUCCGGAAGGGGCGAGUGGAAUUCCUGGUGUAGCGGUGAAAUGCGCAGAUAUCAGGAAGAACACCCGUGGCUAAGGCGGUUCUCUGGGCCGAUACUGACGCUGAGGAGCGAAAGCGUGGGGAGCGAACAGG